GACGAACGCUGGCGGCGUGCCUAAUACAUGCAAGUAGAACGCUGAAGGCGGAGCUUGCUUCUCUGGAUGAGUUGCGAACGGGUGAGUAACGCGUAGGUAACCUGCCUGGUAGCGGGGGAUAACUAUUGGAAACGAUAGCUAAUACCGCAUAAUAGUAGAUGUUGCAUGACAUUUGCUUAAAAGGUGCAAUUGCAUCACUACCAGAUGGACCUGCGUUGUAUUAGCUAGUUGGUGGGGUAACGGCUCACCAAGGGGACGAUACAUAGCGGACCUGAGAGGGUGAGCGGCUUCACUGGGAUGGAGACACGGCCCAGACUCCUACGGGAGGCAGCAGUAGGGAAUCUUCGGCGAUGGACGGAAGGCGGACCGAGCAACGCCGGGUGAGUGACGAAGGUUGUCGGAUCGCAUAGGUCUGUUGUAAGAGAGGAACGAGUGUGAGAGUGGAAAGUUCACACUGUGACGGUAUCUUACCAGAAAGGGACGGCUAACUACGUG
This 495-nucleotide ribosomal RNA is filed under the name uncultured bacterium. Its description in RNAcentral is "partial 16S ribosomal RNA". It matches the Rfam family "Bacterial small subunit ribosomal RNA", at positions 28 to 507 of the family's 1533-position model. The record is from RNAcentral.